RNAcentral lists this ribosomal RNA (427 nucleotides) under uncultured Massilia sp. RNAcentral describes it as "bacterial SSU rRNA". It matches the Rfam family "Bacterial small subunit ribosomal RNA", at positions 355 to 774 of the family's 1533-position model. The record is from RNAcentral. Lineage: Bacteria; Pseudomonadati; Pseudomonadota; Betaproteobacteria; Burkholderiales; Oxalobacteraceae.
UGGGGAAUUUUGGACAAUGGGGGCAACCCUGAUCCAGCAAUGCCGCGUGAGUGAAGAAGGCCUUCGGGUUGUAAAGCUCUUUUGUCAGGGAAGAAACGGGCCUGGAUAAUACCUGGGCUUAAUGACGGUACCUGAAGAAUAAGCACCGGCUAACUACGUGCCAGCAGCCGCGGUAAUACGUAGGGUGCAAGCGUUAAUCGGAAUUACUGGGCGUAAAGCGUGCGCAGGCGGUUUUGUAAGUCUGUCGUGAAAUCCCCGGGCUCAACCUGGGAAUUGCGAUGGAGACUGCAAGGCUGGAGUCUGGCAGAGGGGGGUAGAAUUCCACGUGUAGCAGUGAAAUGCGUAGAGAUGUGGAGGAACACCGAUGGCGAAGGCAGCCCCCUGGGUCAAGACUGACGCUCAUGCACGAAAGCGUGGGGAGCAAACA